This 2930-nucleotide ribosomal RNA is filed under the name Escherichia coli. RNAcentral describes it as "23S ribosomal RNA". It matches the Rfam family "Bacterial large subunit ribosomal RNA". Lineage: Bacteria; Pseudomonadati; Pseudomonadota; Gammaproteobacteria; Enterobacterales; Enterobacteriaceae. The record is from RNAcentral.
GGGUUGUGAGGUUAAGCGACUAAGCGUACACGGUGGAUGCCCUGGCAGUCAGAGGCGAUGAAGGACGUGCUAAUCUGCGAUAAGCGUCGGUAAGGUGAUAUGAACCGUUAUAACCGGCGAUUUCCGAAUGGGGAAACCCAGUGUGUUUCGACACACUAUCAUUAACUGAAUCCAUAGGUUAAUGAGGCGAACCGGGGGAACUGAAACAUCUAAGUACCCCGAGGAAAAGAAAUCAACCGAGAUUCCCCCAGUAGCGGCGAGCGAACGGGGAGCAGCCCAGAGCCUGAAUCAGUGUGUGUGUUAGUGGAAGCGUCUGGAAAGGCGCGCGAUACAGGGUGACAGCCCCGUACACAAAAAUGCACAUAUUGUGAGCUCGAUGAGUAGGGCGGGACACGUGGUAUCCUGUCUGAAUAUGGGGGGACCAUCCUCCAAGGCUAAAUACUCCUGACUGACCGAUAGUGAACCAGUACCGUGAGGGAAAGGCGAAAAGAACCCCGGCGAGGGGAGUGAAAAAGAACCUGAAACCGUGUACGUACAAGCAGUGGGAGCCUCUUUUAUGGGGUGACUGCGUACCUUUUGUAUAAUGGGUCAGCGACUUAUAUUCUGUAGCAAGGUUAACCGAAUAGGGGAGCCGAAGGGAAACCGAGUCUUAACUGGGCGUUAAGUUGCAGGGUAUAGACCCGAAACCCGGUGAUCUAGCCAUGGGCAGGUUGAAGGUUGGGUAACACUAACUGGAGGACCGAACCGACUAAUGUUGAAAAAUUAGCGGAUGACUUGUGGCUGGGGGUGAAAGGCCAAUCAAACCGGGAGAUAGCUGGUUCUCCCCGAAAGCUAUUUAGGUAGCGCCUCGUGAAUUCAUCUCCGGGGGUAGAGCACUGUUUCGGCAAGGGGGUCAUCCCGACUUACCAACCCGAUGCAAACUGCGAAUACCGGAGAAUGUUAUCACGGGAGACACACGGCGGGUGCUAACGUCCGUCGUGAAGAGGGAAACAACCCAGACCGCCAGCUAAGGUCCCAAAGUCAUGGUUAAGUGGGAAACGAUGUGGGAAGGCCCAGACAGCCAGGAUGUUGGCUUAGAAGCAGCCAUCAUUUAAAGAAAGCGUAAUAGCUCACUGGUCGAGUCGGCCUGCGCGGAAGAUGUAACGGGGCUAAACCAUGCACCGAAGCUGCGGCAGCGACGCUUAUGCGUUGUUGGGUAGGGGAGCGUUCUGUAAGCCUGUGAAGGUGUGCUGUGAGGCAUGCUGGAGGUAUCAGAAGUGCGAAUGCUGACAUAAGUAACGAUAAAGCGGGUGAAAAGCCCGCUCGCCGGAAGACCAAGGGUUCCUGUCCAACGUUAAUCGGGGCAGGGUGAGUCGACCCCUAAGGCGAGGCCGAAAGGCGUAGUCGAUGGGAAACAGGUUAAUAUUCCUGUACUUGGUGUUACUGCGAAGGGGGGACGGAGAAGGCUAUGUUGGCCGGGCGACGGUUGUCCCGGUUUAAGCGUGUAGGCUGGUUUUCCAGGCAAAUCCGGAAAAUCAAGGCUGAGGCGUGAUGACGAGGCACUACGGUGCUGAAGCAACAAAUGCCCUGCUUCCAGGAAAAGCCUCUAAGCAUCAGGUAACAUCAAAUCGUACCCCAAACCGACACAGGUGGUCAGGUAGAGAAUACCAAGGCGCUUGAGAGAACUCGGGUGAAGGAACUAGGCAAAAUGGUGCCGUAACUUCGGGAGAAGGCACGCUGAUAUGUAGGUGAAGUCCCUUGCGGAUGGAGCUGAAAUCAGUCGAAGAUACCAGCUGGCUGCAACUGUUUAUUAAAAACACAGCACUGUGCAAACACGAAAGUGGACGUAUACGGUGUGACGCCUGCCCGGUGCCGGAAGGUUAAUUGAUGGGGUCAGCGCAAGCGAAGCUCUUGAUCGAAGCCCCGGUAAACGGCGGCCGUAACUAUAACGGUCCUAAGGUAGCGAAAUUCCUUGUCGGGUAAGUUCCGACCUGCACGAAUGGCGUAAUGAUGGCCAGGCUGUCUCCACCCGAGACUCAGUGAAAUUGAACUCGCUGUGAAGAUGCAGUGUACCCGCGGCAAGACGGAAAGACCCCGUGAACCUUUACUAUAGCUUGACACUGAACAUUGAGCCUUGAUGUGUAGGAUAGGUGGGAGGCUUUGAAGUGUGGACGCCAGUCUGCAUGGAGCCGACCUUGAAAUACCACCCUUUAAUGUUUGAUGUUCUAACGUUGACCCGUAAUCCGGGUUGCGGACAGUGUCUGGUGGGUAGUUUGACUGGGGCGGUCUCCUCCUAAAGAGUAACGGAGGAGCACGAAGGUUGGCUAAUCCUGGUCGGACAUCAGGAGGUUAGUGCAAUGGCAUAAGCCAGCUUGACUGCGAGCGUGACGGCGCGAGCAGGUGCGAAAGCAGGUCAUAGUGAUCCGGUGGUUCUGAAUGGAAGGGCCAUCGCUCAACGGAUAAAAGGUACUCCGGGGAUAACAGGCUGAUACCGCCCAAGAGUUCAUAUCGACGGCGGUGUUUGGCACCUCGAUGUCGGCUCAUCACAUCCUGGGGCUGAAGUAGGUCCCAAGGGUAUGGCUGUUCGCCAUUUAAAGUGGUACGCGAGCUGGGUUUAGAACGUCGUGAGACAGUUCGGUCCCUAUCUGCCGUGGGCGCUGGAGAACUGAGGGGGGCUGCUCCUAGUACGAGAGGACCGGAGUGGACGCAUCACUGGUGUUCGGGUUGUCAUGCCAAUGGCACUGCCCGGUAGCUAAAUGCGGAAGAGAUAAGUGCUGAAAGCAUCUAAGCACGAAACUUGCCCCGAGAUGAGUUCUCCCUGACCCUUUAAGGGUCCUGAAGGAACGUUGAAGACGACGACGUUGAUAGGCCGGGUGUGUAAGCGCAGCGAUGCGUUGAGCUAACCGGUACUAAUGAACCGUGAGGCUUAACCUUACAACGCCGAAGCUGUU